Triticum urartu is the source of this 1831-nucleotide non-coding RNA. The record is from Rfam. Lineage: Eukaryota; Viridiplantae; Streptophyta; Magnoliopsida; Poales; Poaceae.
UACCUGGUUGAUUCUGCCAGUAGUCAUAUGCUUGUCUCAAAGAUUAAGCCAUGCAUGUCUAAGUAUAAGCGUUAUACAAAGUGAAACUGCGAAUGGCUCAUUAAAUCAGUUAUAGUUUAUUUGAUGAAGGAAAAAGCUACAUGGAUAACUGUGGUAAAUCUAGAGCUAAUACAUGCCUUGUAAUGCCCCGACUUCGGAAGGGGUGCAUUUAUUAGAUUAAAUCCAAUGCCUUCGGGCUUUGGGGAGUCAUAAUAACUUUACCAAUCGCAUGGGCUAGUCCCGGCGAUGCUUCAUUCAAAUAUCUGCCCUAUCAACUUUGAUGGUACGGUAGUGGCCUACCAUGGUUGUAACGGGUAACGGGGAAUAAGGGUUCGAUUCCGGAGAGGGAGCCUGAGAAACGGCUACCACAUCCAAGGAAGGCAGCAGGCGCGCAAAUUAUCCAAUCCCGACACGGGGAGAUAGUGACAAAAAAUAACGAUACAGGGCUUUUUAAAGGUCUUGUAAUUGGAAUGAGUACAAUUUAAAUCCCUUAACGAGGAACAAUUGGAGGGCAAGUUUGGUGCCAGCAGCCGCGGUAAUUCCAACUCCAAUAGCGUAUAUUAAAGUUGUUGCAGUUAAAAAGCUCGUAGUUGAAUUUGGGCCCCGGCUGGGUGGUCCGCCGCAAGGCGUGUACUGCCUUUCAAGCUGGGGCUUACUCCCAUUGGUGAACUCUGGUGAGUCUUUGGCUCGCCAGGGGGAACCAGGGAAUUUACUUUGAAAAAAUUAGAGUGUUCAAAGCAGGCCUAACGGCUCGAAUAGAUUAGCAUGGAAUAAGGGAAUAGGACGUUGCGAUCCUGUUUCGUUGGUUUUAAGGAUCGCCGUAAUGAUCAAUAGGGACAGCUCGGGGGCAUUAGUAUUCACAAGCUAGAGGUGAAAUUCUUGGAUUUUGUGAAGACUAACUUCUGCGAAAGCAUUUGCCAAGGAUGUUUUCAUUAAUCAAGAACGAAGGUUAGGGGAUCGAAAACGAUUAGAUACCGUUGUAGUCUUAACAGUAAACUAUGCCAGCUAGGGAUCGGUCGGCGCUUUAAUUUACUAUGGCCCGAUCGGCACCUUUGCGAGAAAUCAAAGCAUUUGGGUUCUGGGGGGAGUAUGGUCGCAAGGCUGAAACUUAAAGAAAUUGACGGAAGGGCACCACCAGGAGUGGAGCCUGCGGCUUAAUUUGACUCAACACGGGGAAACUCACCAGGUCCAGACAUAAGAAGGAUUGACAGAUUGAUAGCGCUUUCAUGAUUUUAUGGGUGGUGGUGCAUGGCCGUUCUUAGUUGGUGAAGUGAUUUGUCUGGUUAAUUCCGAUAACGAACGAGACCUUGGCCUGCUAAUUGGACCGGUCGACCUUCGGGUUGGCACCUAGCAAUAGGAAUUGGUCCGCUUAGAGGGACUUUGAGCUUUAAGCUCAAGGAAGCACGAGGCAAAAACAGGUCUGUGAUGCCCUUAGAUGUUCUGGGCCGCACGCGCGCUACACUGACAGAGCCAGCGAGUAUUUUUCCUUGCCCGGAAGGGUUGGGUAAUCUUGUGAAACUUUGUCGUGCUGGGGAUAGAGCAUUGCAAUUAUUGCUCUUGAACGAGGAAUUCCUAGUAAGCGUAAGUCAUCAGCUUGCGUUGAUUACGUCCCUGCCCUUUGUACACACCGCCCGUCGCUACUACCGAUUGAACGGCUUAAUGAGGACUUGGGAUUGGUAUUCGGGAGCUGGCAACGGCACCUGAAAGCUGAAAACUUGUUCAAAUUUGGUCGUUUAGAGGAAGUAAAAGUCGUAACAAGGUUUCUGUAGGUGAACCUGCAGAAGGAUCAUUG